UCCGUGGCGGUCUAGUGGUUAGGACUUGGCACUUUCACUGCCAGGGCCCAGGUUCAGUCCCUGGCCGAGGAA
RNAcentral lists this transfer RNA (72 nucleotides) under Bos taurus (domestic cattle). It matches the Rfam family "tRNA". Rfam says of the family: Transfer RNA (tRNA) molecules are approximately 80 nucleotides in length. Their secondary structure includes four short double-helical elements and three loops (D, anti-codon, and T loops). The record is from Rfam by way of RNAcentral. Lineage: Eukaryota; Metazoa; Chordata; Mammalia; Artiodactyla; Bovidae. RNAcentral also lists the same sequence under 1 other name.